Molecule: non-coding RNA, 2273 nt
Organism: Callorhinus ursinus (northern fur seal)
Lineage: Eukaryota; Metazoa; Chordata; Mammalia; Carnivora; Otariidae
Source: RefSeq, a predicted model, not a curated record
AGGCCCGGCCUUGCAAAACAAGCUCAGAGUGUGCCUCUGAGUUUUUUGUUCUUGCUGAUAGUAAUGGAAUGUACCGGCCUCCUGAUGUCAGAUCUGAGAGAAACAGAAGACCUGAAAACAAAGAAGACAUCCAAUUCUAGUGGGUGCCACCCAGAGCAGUGAAGGGGGAUGGCCCAAGUCGAGGAAAAAUCCAGAACCUGUGACUCUUGUUCACGAGCACAUGCCUGGAUGUAGUCAUUUUGAGUUUAUGGAAAAUGUGGUCAGCCCCAUAAAUCAGUGCUAAGGAAUUCUGACAGAGUCAUCACCGGGUAGCUGUCUUGCAGAUUUAUUCGCGCAUAUGUUCAUCCAGUUAUUCAUGCAUCAAAUCGUUUAUCUACCCAUCCAAACAUCUGCACAUGUGGCAGAGCACUGUGCGCCGCACAAGAGAAGAUGGUGCUGCAGAGAUGAGUCAGGACUGAAGAAGAGAGACAUGUGGACACUCCGGGAGGGGAGAGCAAUCCGGAACUUCUUCUAACCAAUGAGAGGAUGAUUGAUGCCCGGGAGGAGGACAGUUCGGUGACCGUUUCACUUAACCCCCUGCAUAUACUGAUCUACUAAUGACUAUGUAUGGUGGUUUCCAUAAGAUGAGUAAGGCAGGAGACUGGUGCUCAGACAGUGGUCAGGGGGCUUGAGAAUGGCCAAGGGACGUCAGGGUGGUUAGCACUAGGGUGUCUCACCACACGUGUGUAGGCAGGUGACAUGAACCAGUAAGUGCAGCACCAAGUGGCCUACGACUCAGACCAACCCAACUGUGGUUGUCAUUCAGAGUCACUUCCUGAGUAUUUACUGAAUUCCACAUCUAGCAAUGUCCCAAGGGGAACCCACAAGACAAUGUCAGAAUACACAAUGUAUCAAGUAUUAAUCAAAGGUGGGCUAAUUUGUAAUCCAGGUUCCAUGCUGACACACUGUAAAUGGGCACCUGAGCUUCUGGAAGAAUGCCACCAUGCUCAGGUAAAUAGGAUGAGGCACCUCUAAUCUGGCCUUACUGGCUGGGUGCCUGGCAGUACUGAGCAGGAAUGAAGAGGAAGUCUUCCUAUUGCUUCAAGCUCUGCCACCAUCAGGCCUCCCCUGGGACAGCAGGAGAGCGUUUCAAAGAAUGAUCCAGACAGGCGACGUUGAAGUCAUUACAUAACUAUUCCAAGUCAUGAAGCUAGACAGGCUGUCUGUGAGUGAGCCAAACCCCUGUGCCAAGACCAGCACACAGGCCACCCAAAGGAAUGCUCUGAGCACAGGGACAUGUCGGCCCUCUCCACCCCAACCCUCAGAGGGCCAGAGCCCAUGCCUAGGAGAGCAGUUGGGCAGCACACCGCAUCGCUCUCGAGCCUGCGGUAGGUACCACUGCAGCCUGGCUGCAUGGAGGGGCCUGGGGCCCACGGGGUAAAAGGCCGACUGCCCCACCUCCACGAUGCGUGAUGUGCCCCCACCUUUCCACCUCACCCCUCUGCACUCUCCCCUUAACUUUCUGCACUUCAGCAUCUUAGUCACCUUCCUGCUCCUUCUGUGCACCCUGCUGGUUCUCACUUGUAGCCUAAAUGCUUUCGAUCCCACCCUGCUUUGUCCCUGUGCCUGCACAUAACCAGGUUCACACCGACUCAUUGACUCAUCGACUCAGAUAGAUCCGUAAAUACACCCACCCUCGAAGUCGCCCCUGACCUCACAGCACAGGUUCCGUGUGAGGAGAAGCCAUCAGAACAGAGCUGUGUGGAGAAGAAAUGCCAGUCGAGCUCCGAAAGGCAUCUAACAAGGGCUUGAAUAUCACAGAGGAGAGGAACUGAAGCAGAAAGGCUCAGCUAUUGUGGGGAAAGGUUUUUACUUCUUUCUGGAAGAAGGAGAAGGUUUCCUGUGAAGCAAGGAGGAGAAGGACCUGGUCUGCAAGGGGACAGAGGAGGCUUCAGCCCUGAGGGAAGACUUCCUGGGGCUAAACCGUAAGAGGCUGCAUGAGAGAUGGAGACCGUAUUUGGAAUGGCUGUAUCUGCUCCCAUGGAAGCUUCACCCACGUGGCCCGGUGUGGAUCAGCGUGUCACACGGGUGAGACUGUAUUUCAGAGUGAAGUCAGAAGGGGAUGAGGACCAACAGCAGAGCCCGCCUUCCCCUUGGAGUCUUGGCUUGGAGUUUCAACCAGUAACUUUGUGAAGUGGGAUUGAUAACUCAUGCAAGGAUGGCCCCAUGUAACCUGUUGAAUAUGUAUCAGGAUGUAGUAUCCAAAUACAUACACAUCUGCACUGUUUAGUAAA